UACAGUUAAGGUGAGGGUUUUGGGUAAGUGUUACGGUUAGGGUUAGGUUUAGGGUUAGGGUUAGUGUUAAGGUUAGGUUUAAUUUUAUUGUAGGCUUAAAGUUAGGGUUAAGGUUAGGUUAGGGUUAGGGUCAGGGUUAGGAUUAGAAUUAGAAUUAGGUUUAGGGCGAGGGUUAGGGUCAGAGUUAUUUUAAGGGUUAGGUUUAGGUUUACAGGUGGGCCAAGGUUACGGUUAGGGUGAGGUUUAGGGGUAGGGUUAGGGUUAAAGUUAGGGUUAGCUUUAGGUUAGGGAUAGGGUGAAGUUUAAGACAGGGUGACGGUUAGGGUUAGGGUUAUGGCUAAGGUUUGGGUUUGUUUUCAGGUUAGUGUUAAGGUUAUGUUUAGGGUUAGGGUUAAGUUUAGGGGUUGUGUUUAGUUUUAGGGUUAGUGUUAGAUUUUAGGUUAGGGUUAAGUUUAGUGUUAUGGUUAGGGUUAGGGUUAUGGCUGUGUUAGGCGUUGUGGUUGGGGUGAGGGUUAGGUUUAGGGUUAGGGUUGGGUAGGGUUAGGAUUAUGGUUAUGGUAAGGUGUUAGGAGUUAGAGCUGUAGUUUAGGGUUAGGGUUUGGGGGAGGGUUCCGGUUAGACAUUGUGGUUCCGGUCAUGGUUAGGUUUGGUUUAGGGUUAGGGUUAGGUUUAUGAUUAGGUUUCGGGUUAGUGUUAGAGUUAAGGUUAAGGUUUUUGUUAGGCUUUGGUGUUGGUUAGGGUUAGGGUUAUCAUUAGGGCUCAGGGGUUUCAGGUUAGGGUUAGGGUUAGGGAUAGCAUUAGGUUUAGGUUUUGUGGGAUACGGUUAGUGGUUAGGGUGAGGGUUAUGGUUAGUUUUACCGUUAAGGUGAGAGUUUAGGGUAAGUGUUACGAUUAGGGUUAGAGUUAGAGUUAGGGUUAGGUUUAGAGUUAGGGUUAGGUGUAGGGUAAGAUUUAGGUUUAGGUCCAAGUUGAGGUUUAGAGUUAGUGUUCUAUUUAGGGUCAAGGUUAGAGUUAGGAUUAGGUCUAGGGUUAGGAUUAGGAUUAAGUUUAGGGUUAGGUUCAGGACUACUGUAAGUGUUCGUUCUAGGGUUACAGAUGGACUAGCAUUAUUGUUAGAAUUAGGUUUAAGGUUAGAGUUUGGGUUAGGUUUAGGUUAAGGUUACAGGUAGGGUUUGCAUGAAGUUUAGGAUAGGUUGUGGGUUAUUUUUAUAGUUAGGGCUAGAGUUUGGGUUUGUGUUCAGAUUAGUGUUAAGGUUAGGUUUAGGGUUCGGGUUAAGGUUAGGGGUUAUCUUUAGGGUUAGUGUUAGGUUAGGAUGAGGGUGAGUGUGAAGUUUAAGUAAAGGGUGAGGGUUAUGAUAAGGGUUAAGAUUAUAGAUGGUGUUAGAAGUGAGGUUUAGGAUGUUAAGGUUAGUUUUAUGGUUAGGGUAGGGUUAAGAUUAGGGUUAACAUUAGGGUUAGGGUUAGAUUAGGGUUACUGUUUGUAUUAGGGUUAGGGUUAAAGUUUGGCAUAGCGUUAGGUUUUGGGUUGGGGAUACGGUUAAGGGUUAGGGUGAGUCAGGUUUAGAGUUAUUGUUAGGGUUAGGGUUAUGGUAGAGUUAAGGUCAGGGUUAAGUUUAGGGUUAGAGUAAGGGUUAGGUUUAGGUCAGGGCUAGGACUAGGAGGAGGGAUAGGGUUAGGAUUAGGGAAAGGGUUAGGGGUUCAUGUGAGGGUUAGUGUUAGGUUUACAGUUAAGCUGAUGUUUUAGGGUGUUAUGGUUAGGUUUAAGCUUAGAGUUAGGGUUAGGCUAGAGUUAGGGGAUAGUUUCGGGUUAGGUUUAGUUUUAGGGUUAGGGCCAGGCUUAGGUUUAGGGCAAAGCUUAGGUUAAGGAUGAGGGUUAAGGUUAGGGUUAGGGUUAAGUCAUGGUUAGGAUUAGGGCUAUGUUAAGGUUAGAGAUAGGGUUAGGCUAAGGGUUGGGAUUAGGUUUAAAUGUUAGGGUGAAGGUUAGGAGUAGGUUUCCAUUUAAGCUGAGUGUGUCGGGUUAAGUUUACGGUCGGGAAUACUUUUAAGGUUUAGGGUGAGGGUUAGGCUUAGGUUUACAGUUAAGGUGAGGGUUUUGGGUAAUUGUUAUGGUUAGGGCUAGACUUAGAGUUCGGCUUAGGGUUAGGGUGAAGUUUCAGUUAAUAGUCAGGGAUAGGGUAAAUAUUAGAGUAGGGUUAAGGUUAGUGUUAGGGUUACGUAUAGGGUUAGGGUUCGGGUAGGGGUAAGGCUCGGUUUAAGGCUAGGUUUACGGAAAAGGGUAGAGCUAGUUUAGGGUUAGGUUUAGAGUUAGAGUUAGUGCUAGGGUUUAGGGUUAGGGUGAGGGUCAGGUUUAGAGUUCUUGUUAGGGUUAGGGUUAUGGUAGAGUUAAGGUUAGGGUUAAGUUUAGGGUUAGAGUAAGAGUUAGGUUUAGGUCAGGGUUCGGGAUAAGAUGAGGGAUAGGGUUAGGAUUAGGGAAAGGGUUAGGGGUUCGUGUGAGGGUUAGGGUUAGGUUUACAGUUAAGCUGAUGUUUUAGGGUGUUACGGUUAGGUUUAGGGUUAGAGUUAGGGUUAGGCUAGAGUUAGGGGAUAGUUUCGGGUUAGGUUUAAUUUUAGGGUUAGGGUCAGGCUUAGGUUUAGGGUGAAGUUUAGGUUAAGGAGGAGGGUUAAGGUUAGGGUUAGGGUUAGGCUUAGUGUUCGAGUUAGGUGUUUGGGUGAAUGGUAGGAUCAGGUUUAGGGUUAGGGUUAGUGUUCUGUUUAGGGUUAGGGUUAGGGUGAAGUUUAAGUUAAGGGUGAGGGUUGAGCUUAGGGUUAGUGUUAGGGGUUCGGGUUAGGGUUAAGGUUAGGAUUCAGUUUAGGGUUAAGGUUAGGUUUAGAGUUAGGGUUAGGAUAAGUGUUCGGGUUAAGUCAUGUUUCGGUUUAGGGGUAGGUUGAGGUUAAAGACAGGGUUAGGUUAAGGGUUGGUGUUAGGUUUAGAUGUUAGGGUGAGGCUUAGUGCUAGGUUUCCAUUUAAGCUGAGUGUGUAGGGUGAGUUUUAGGGUUAGAGUUGGAGUUAGGGUCAGGGUUAGGGUUAUCUUAGGGUUAGGGUCAGGUUUAUGGUUAGGAAUAGGGUUAGGGUCAGGGGUGGGGGUGAUUUAGUGUUAUGUUUCGGUUUAGGGUUAGGGUUAGGGUGAAGUAUAUUUAAGCGAGACGUUAGGGUUAGGGGUUAGGUUUCAGGUUAGGGUCAGGGUUAAGUUUAGGGUUAGGGUUAGGGUUAAGUUUAGUGUUAGUUUUGCUUAGGGUUAUGGUUGAAUGAAGUUAGGGUACAUUUAGGGUUAUGGUUAGGGUGAAAUUUUGUUUAAGGGUGAGGGUUCGCAUUAGGGUUAGGGUUAGAGUUAGGGUUAGUGGUUAGGGUUAGGCUUAGGGUUAAGGUUUAGUGUUAGAGUUAGGUGUUUGGGUGAAUGGUAGGAUCAGGUUUAGGGUUAGGGUUAGUGUUCCGUUUAGGGUUAGGGUUAGGGUGAAGUUUAAGUUAAGGGUGAGGGUUGAGCUUAGGGUUAGUGUUAGGGGUUCGGGUUAGGGUUAAGGUUAGGAUUCAGUUUAGGGUUAAGGUUAGGUUUAGAGUUAGGGUUAGGAUAAGUGUUCGGGUUAAGUCAUGUUUCGGUUUAGGGGUAGGUUCAGGUUAAAGACAGGGUUAGGUUAAGGGUUGGUGUUAGGUUUAGAUGUUAGGGUGAGGGUUAGUGCUAGGUUUCCAUUUAAGCUGAGUGUGUAGGGUCAGUUUUAGGGUUAGAGUUGGAGUUAGGGUCAGGGUUAGGGUUACCUUAGUGUUAGGGUCAGGUUUAUGGUUAGGAAUAGGGUUAGGGUCAGGGUUGGGGGUGAUUUAGUGUUAUGUUUAGGUUUAGGGUUAGGGUUAGGGUGAAGUAUAUUUAAGCAAGACGUUAGGGUUAGGGGUUAGGUUUCAGGUUAGGGUCAGGGUUAAGUUUAGGGUUAGGGUUAAGUUCAGUGUUAGUUUUGCUUAGGGUUAUGGUUGAAUGAAGUUAGGGUACAUUUAGGGUUAUGGUUAGGGUGAAAUUUUGUUUAAGGGUGAGGGUUCGCUUUAGGGUUAGGGUUAGAGUUAGGGUUAGUGGUUAGGGUUAGGCUUAGGGUUCAGGUUAAUUUUAGGCUAAGGAUUAGGGUUAGAGUUAGGGUUAGGGGUUAGUGUUUCAGUUAGGUUUAGGGUAGGGUUAUCAUUAGGGUUAAGUUUAGGGUCAGGGUAAGAGUUACGGUUACGUUUAAAGUUAACGUGAGGGUUUUGCGUAAGUGUUUCGGUUAGGGUUAGGGUUAGGUCUGGGUUAGGGUUAGAGUUAGUUUUAGGGGUUAGGGUUAGAUUUAAUUUUAUGGUACGCUUUAAGUUAGGGUUCAGGUUAGGUUAGGGUAAGGGUAAGGGGUAUAAUUAAGAUUAGGUUUAGGUUGAGGUUUUGGGUCAGAGUUAUUGUAAGGGUUAGGUUUAGGGUUACAGGUUUGCUAAGGUUAAGGUUAGGGUUAGGUUUAUGCGUAGGGUUAGGGUUAAAGUUAGGGUUAGGUUUAGGGUUGGGGAUAUGGUUAAGGGCUAGGGUGAUGGUUAUGGUGAGGUUUACAGUUAAGGUGAGGGUUUAGGUUAAUUGUUAUGGUUAGGGUUAGAGUUAGAGUUAGGGUUAGGGUUAGGAUGAAGUUUCAGUUAAUAGUGAGGGUUAGGGUUCAGGUUAGAGUUAGGGUUAAGGUCAGUGUUAGGCUUAGGUUAAGUUUAGGGUUAGAGUAGGGUUAAGGUUAGGGUUAAGGCUAGGUUUAAGGUAAAGCUUAGGGUUAGGUUAGGGUUAGGGUUAGGGUAAGGUUUAGAGUUAGAGUUAGUGCUAGGGUUUAGGGUUAGGGAUAGGGUCAGGUUUAGAGUUAUUGCUAGGUUUAGGUUUAGGGUUAGGGUUGGGGUAGAGUUACGGUUAAGGUUAAGUUUAGGAUUAGGGUAAGGGUUAGGUUUAGGUCAGGGUUAAGGUUAGUAUUAGGGAUAGGGUUACGGUUGUGGAAAGGCUUAGGGGUUCCUGUGAGGGUUAGUGUUAAGUUCACAGUUAAGCUGAUGUUUUAGAGUAUUACGGUUAGGAUUAGGGUUAGAUUUAGGUUUCGGUUUAGGGCUAGAGUCAGGGGAUAGUUUAUGGUUAAUUAAUUUUAGGAUUAGGGUUAGGUUUUGGUUUAGGGUGAAGUUUAGGUUAAGGAUGAGGGUUAAGGUUAGUGUGAGGGUUAGGUGUUUGGGUUAAUGUUAGGGUCAGGAUUAGGGUUAGGUUUAGGGUUAGGCUUAGGGUUCAGUUCAGGGUUCGGGUUAGGGUGCCGUUUAAGUCAAGGGUGAGGCUUGAACUUAGGGUUAGUGUUAGGGGUUAGGGUUAGGGUUAAAGUUAGGAUUAGGUUUAGGGUUAAGUUUAGGUUUCGGGUUAGGGUUAGGGUAAGUGUUAGGGUUAAGUCAUGGUUAGGAUUAGGGCUAUGUUAAGGUUAGAGAUAGGGUUAGGCUAAGGGUUGGGGUUAGGUUUAGAUGUUAGGGUGAAGGUUAGUAGUAGGUUUCCAUUUAAGCUGAGUGUGUCGGGUUAAGUUUACAGUUGGGGAUACUUUUAAGGUUUAGGGUGAGGGUUAGGCUUAGGUUUACAGUUAAGGUGAGGGUUUGGGGUAAUUGUUAUGGUUAGGGCUAGACUUAGAGUUCGGCUUAGGGUUAGGGUGAAGUUUCAGUUAAUAGUCAGGGAUAGGGUAAAUAUUAGAGUAGGGUUAAGGUUAGUGUUAGGGUUAGGUAUAGGGUUAGGGUUCGGGUAGGGGUAAGGCUCGGUUUAAGGCUAGGUUUACGGUAAAGGGUAGAGCUAGUUUAGGGUUAGGUUCAGAGUUAGAGUUAGUGCUAGGGUUUAGGGUUAGGGUUAGGGUCAGGUUUCGAGUUCUUGUUAGGGUUAGGGUUAUGGUAGAGUUAAGGUCAGGGUUAAGUUUAGGGUUAGAGUAAGGGUUAGGUUUAGGUCAGGGUUAGGGCUAGGAUGAGGGAUAGGGUUAGGAUUAGGGAAAGGGUUAGGGGUUCGUGUGAGGGUUAGUGUUAGGUUUACAGUUAAGCUGAUGUUUUAGGGUGUUACGGUUAGGUUUAGGGUUAGAGUUAGGGUUAGGCUAGAGUUAGGGGAUAGUUUCGGGUUAGGUUUAGUUUUAGGGUUAGGGUCAGGCUUAGGUUUAGGGUGAAGCUUAGGUUAAGGAGGAGGGUUAAGGUUAGGGUUAGGGUUAGGCUUAGUGUUCAAGUUAGGUGUUUGGGUGAAUGGUAGGAUCAGGUUUUGGGUUAGGGUUAGUGUUCCGUUUAGGGUUAGGGUUAGGGUGAAGUUUAAGUUUAGGGUGAGGGUUGAGCUUAGGGUUAGUGUUAGGGGUUCGGGUUAGGGUUAAGGUUAGGAUUCAGUUUAGGGUUAAGGUUAGGUUUAGAGUUAGGGUUAGGAUAAGUGUUCGGGUUAAGUCAUGUUUAGGUUUAGGGGUAGGUUCAGGUUAAAGACAGGGUUAGGUUAAGGGUUGGUGUUAGGUUUAGAUGUUAGGGUGAGGGUUAGUGCUAGGUUUCCAUUUAAGCUGAGUGUGUAGGGUCAGUUUUAGGGUUAGAGUUGGAGUUAGGGUCAGGGUUAGGGUUAUCUUAGGGUUAGGGUCAGGUUUAUGGUUAGGAAUAGGGUUAGGGUUAGGGUUGGGGAGAUUGAGUGUUCUGUUUAGUUUUAGGGUUAGGGUGAAGUUUAUGUUAAGCGUGACGGUUAUGGUUAGUGGUUAGGGUUCAGGUUAGGGUCAGCAUCAGGGCUAGGUAUAGGUUUAGGGUUAGGGUUAGGUUUAGUGUUAGUGUUAGUUUUGCUUAGGUUUAGGCUUUGAAUGAAGUAGGGUAGGUUUAGGGUUAUGGUUAGGGUUAGGGUUUGGAUGAAGUUUAGGAUAUGGUAAGGGUUAGUGUUACGGUUAGGUUUAGGGUUCAGGUUAGUGUUAGGGGUUAGUUAAGGGUUAGGGUUAGGGUUAGGUUUAGUGUUAGUGUGAUGUUUAGGUUAAGGGUGAAGGUUCGGAUAAAGUUUACGAUUAGGGUUAGGAUUAUAGUUAGUGUUAGAGGCCAGGUUUAGGGUGUUAGGGUUAGGUUUGUGGUAGGGUAGGGUUAAGUUUAGGAUUCGGGUUAGAGUCAGGGAUAGCUUUAGGUUAAAGAAUUUUUUUUUUUUUUUUAGGUUUAGGGUUGGGGAUACGGUUCGGGGUUAGGGUGAGGGUUAGGUUUACAGUUAAGGUGAGGGUUUAGGGUAAUUGUUAUGCUUAGUGUUAGGGUUACAGUUAGGGGAAGUUUCAGUUAAUAGUGAGGGUUACUGCUAAGUUUAGAGUUAGGGUAAGUUUAGUGUUAGGGUUAGGGUUAAGGUCGGGGUCAGGUUAGGGUUAAGGCUAGGUUUACGGUAAAGGGUAGGGCUAGGUUGGGGUUAGGGUUAGGUUUAGAGUUAGAGUUAGUGCUAGGGUUUACUGUUAGGGUUAGGGUCAGGUUUAGAGUUAUUGUUAGGGUUAGGGCUAGGGUUAGGGUAGAGUUAAGGUUAAGGUUAAGUUUAGGGUUAGGGUAAGGGUUAGGUUUAGGUCAGGGUGAGGUUUAGGAUGAAGGAUAGGGUUAAAGUUAGGGAAAGGGUUAGGGGUUCAUGUGAGGGUUAGUGUUAGGUUUACAUUAAGCUGAUGUUUUAGGGUGUUACUGUUAGUGUUAGUUUUAGAGUUAGGGUUACGGUUAGGGUUAGGUUUAGGGUUAGGGCUAGAGUUAGGGGAUAGUUAAGCGUGAGGUUUAGUAUUAGGGUUACGGUUAUGGUUAGGCUUAGGUUUAGGGUGAAGUUUAUGUUAAGGAUGAGGGUUAGGGUUAGGUGUUUGGGUUAAGGUUAGGGUUAGGUUUAGAGUUAGACUUAGUGUUAGGUUUAGGGUUAGUUGUUUGGGUCAAUGUUAGGGUCAGGUUUAGGGGUAGGGUUCGUUUUAGGGUUAGGGCUAUGGCUAGGGUGAAGUUUAAGUUCAGGGUGAGUGUUGAGCUUAGGGUUAGCGUUAGCGGUUAGGGUUAGGGUUAAGGUUAGGAUCAAGUUGAGGGUUAAGGUUAGGUUUAGAGUUAGGAUUAGGGUUAGUGUUAGGGUUAAGUCAUGGUUAGGUUUAGGGCUAGGUUAAAGUUAGAGAUAGGGUUAGGUUAAGGGUUGGGGUUAGGUUUAGAUGUUAGUGUGAGGGUUAGUGCUAGGUUUCCAUUUAAGCUGAGUGUGUAGGGUAAGUUUUAGGGUUAGGAUUAGGGUUAGAGUUAGAGUUAGGUUCAGGGUUAAGGUUAAGUUUAGGGUUAGGGUUAGGUUUAUGGUUGGGGUCAGGGUUGGGGGAGAUUUAGUGUUAUCUUUUGUUUUUAGGGUUAGGGUUAGGGUGAAGUUUAUUUAAGCGAGACGUUAGGGUUAGGGGUUAGGUUUCAGGUUAGGGUCAGGGUUAAGUUUAGGGUUAGCUUUUUUUUUUUAGGUUUAGGUUUAGGAUUAGGAUUAGGUUUAGUGUUAGUUUUGCUUAGGGUUAGGGUUUGAAUGAAGUUAGGGUAGGUUUAGGGUUAUGGUUAGGGUGAAAUUUUGGUUAAGGGUGAGGGUUCGGCUUAGGGUUAGGGUUAGGGGUUAGUGUUUCAGUUAGGUUUAGGGUAGAGUUAUAAUUAGGGUUAAGUUUAGGGUUAGGGUAAGAGUUAGAGUUAUGUUUACAGUUAAGGUGAGGGUUUUGGGUAAGUGUUACGCUUAGGGUUAGGGUUAGGUUUAGGGUUAGGGUUAGUGUUAGGGUUAGGUUUAAUUUUAUUGUAGGCUUAAAGUUAGGGCUAAGGUUAGGUUGGGGUUAGGGUCAGGGUUAGGAUUAGAAUUAGCUUCAGGGUGAGGGUUAGGGUCAGAGUUAUUUUAAGGGUUAGGUUUAGGGUUACAGGUGGGACAAGGUUAAGGUUAGGGUGAGGUUUAGGGGUAGGGUUAGGGUUAAAGUUAGGGUUAGCUUUAGGUUAGGGAUAGGGUGAAGUUUAAGACAGGGAGACGGUUAGGGUCAGGGUUAUGGCUGAGGUUUGGGUUUGUUUUCAGGUUAGUGUUAAGGUUAUGUUUAGGGUUAGGGUUAAGUUUAGGGGUUGUGUUUAGUUUUAGGGUUAGUGUUAGAUUUUAGGUUAGGGUUAAGUUUAGUGUUACGGUUAGGGUUAGGGUUAUGGUUGUGUUAGGCGUUGUGGUUGGGGUGAGGGUUAGGUUUAGGGUUAGGGUUGGGUAGGGUUAGGAUUAUGGUUAUGGUAAGGUGUUAGGGGUUAGAGCUGUAGUUUAGGGUUAGGGUUUGGGGGAGGGUUGCGGUUAGGCAUUGUGGUUCUGGUCAUGGAUAGGUUUGGUUUAGGGUUAGGGUUAGGUUCAUGAUUCGGUUUCGGGUUAGUGUUAGAGUUAGGGUUAAGGUUUGGGUUAGGCUUUGGUGUUGCGGUUAGGGUUUGGGUUAGGGUUAGGGUUAUCGUUAGGGCUCAGAGGUUUCAGGUUAGGGUUAGUGAUAGCAUUAGGUUUAGGUUUUGUGGGAUACGGUUAGGGGUUAGGGUGAGGGUUAUGGUUAGUUUUACACUUAAGGUGAGUGUUCAGGGUAAGUGUUGCGAUUAGGGUUAGAGUUAGAGUCAGGGUUAGGGUUAGGUGUAUGCUAAGAUUUAGGUUGAGGUCCAAGUUGAGGUUUAGAGUUAGUGUUCUAUUUAGGGUCAAGGUUAGAGUUAGGGUUAGGGUUAGGAUUAGGUCUAGGGUUAGGAUUAGGAUUAAGUUUACGGUUAGGUUCGGGACUAUUGUAAGUGUUCAGUCUAGGCUUACAGAUGGACUAGCAUUAUUGGUAGAAUUAGGUUUAAGGUUAGAGUUUGGGUUAGGUUUAGGUUAAGGUUAGAGUUAGGGUUUGGAUGAAGUUUAGGAUAGGUUGCGGAUCAUUUUUAUGGUUAGGGCUAGAGUUUGGGUUUGUGUUCAGGUUAGUGUUAAGGUUAGGUUUAGGGUUCAGUUUAGGGUUAUGGUAGAGUUAAGGUUAGGGUUAAGUUUAGGGUUAGAGUAAAGGUUAGGUUUAGGUCAGCGUUAGGGCUAGGAUGAGGGAUAGGGUUAGGAUUAGGGAGAGGGUUAGGGGUUCGUGUGAAGGUUAGUGUUAGGUUUACAGUUAAGCUGAUGUUUUAGGGUGUUACAGUUAGGUUUAGGGUUAGUGUUAGUGUUAGGCUAGAGUUAAGGGAUAGUUUAGGGUUAGGUUUAGUUUUAGGGUUAAGGUCAGGCUUAGGUUUAGGGUGAAGUUUAGGUUAAGGAUGAGGGUUAGGGUUAGGUAUUUGGGUUAAGGUUAGGGUUAGGCUUAGUGUUAGGAUUAGGUGUUUGGGUGAUUGGUAGGGUGAGGUUUAGGGUUAGGGUUAGGGUUAGUGUUCGGUUUAGUGUUAGGGUUAGGUUGAAGUUUAAGUUAAGAGUGAGGGUUCAGCUUAUGGUUAGCAUUUGGGGUUGCAGUUAAUGUUGGAUUAAGUUUAGAGUUAAGAUUAGGUUUAGAGUUAGGGUUAGGGUAAGUGUUCGGGUUAUGUUUAGCUUUAGAGGUAGGUUCAGGUUAAAGACAGGCUUAGGUUAAGGGUUGGUGUUAGAUUUAGAUGUUAGGGUGAGGGUUAGUGCUAGGUUUCCAUUUCAGCUGAGUGUGUAGGGUCAGUUUUAGGGUUAGAGUUGGAGUUAGGGUCAGGGUUAGGGUUAAGUUUAGGGUUAGGGUUAGGUUUAUGGUUAGGAAUAGGGUUAGGGUUAGGGUUGGGGGAGAUUUAGUGUUCUGUUUAGUUUUAGGGUUAGGGUUAGGGUGAAGUUUAUGUUAAGCGUGAAGGUUAGGGUUAGUGGUUAGGGUUCAGGUUAGGGUCAGGAUCAGGGCUAGGUAUAGGUUUAGGGUUAGGGUUAGGUUUAGUGUUAGUGUUAGUUUUGCUUAGGUUUAGGCUUUGAAUGAAGUAGGGUAGGUUUAGGGUUAUGGUUAGGGUUAGGGUUUGGAUGACGUUUAGGAUAUGGUAAGGGUUAGUGUUACGGUUAGGUUUAGGGUUCAGGUUAGUGUUAGGGGUUAGUUAAGGGUUAGGGUUAGGGUUAGGUUUAGUGUUAGUGUGAUGUUUAGGUUAAGGGUGAAGGUUCGGAUAAAGUUUACGAUUAGGGUUAGGAUUAUAGUUAGUGUUAGAGGCCAGGUUUAGGGUGUUAGGGUUAGGUUUGUGGUAGGGUAGGGUUAAGUUUAGGAUUCGGGUUAGAGUCAGGGAUAGCUUUAGGUUAAAGAAUUUUUUUUUUUUUUUUUUUAGGUUUAGGGUUGGGGAUACGGUUCGGGGUUAGGGUGAGGGUUAGGUUUACAGUUAAGGUGAGGGUUUAGGGUAAUUGUUAUGCUUAGUGUUAGGGUUAGGGUUAGGGGAAGUUUCAGUUAAUAGUGAGGGUUACUGCUAAGUUUAGAGUUACGGUAAGUUUAGUGUUAGGGUUAGGGUUAAGGUCGGAGUCAGGUUAGGGUUAAGGCUAGGUUUACGGUAAAGGGUAGGGCUAGGUUGGGGUUAGGGUUAGGUUUAGAGUUAGAGUUAGUGCUAGGGUUUACUGUUAGGGUUAGGGUCAGGUUUAGAGUUAUUGUUAGGGUUAGGGCUAGGGUUAGGGUAGAGUUAAGGUUAAGGUUAAGUUUAGGGUUAGGGUAAGGGUUAGGUUUAGGUCAGGGUGAGGUUUAGGAUGAAGGAUAGGGUUAAAGUUAGGGAAAGGGUUAGGGGUUCAUGUGAGGGUUAGUGUUAGGUUUACAUUAAGCUGAUGUUUUAGGGUGUUACUGUUAGUGUUAGUUUUAGAGUUAGGGUUACGGUUAGGGUUAGGUUUAGGGUUAGGGCUCGAGUUAGGGGAUAGUUAAGCGUGAGGUUUAGUAUUAGGGUUACGGUUACAGUUAGGCUUAGGUUUAGGGUGAAGUUUAUGUUAAGGAUGAGGGUUAGGGUUAGGUGUUUGGGUUAAGGUUAGGGUUAGGUUUAGGGUUAGACUUAGUGUUAGGUUUAGGGUUAGUUGUUUGGGUCAAUGUUAGGGUCGGGUUUAGGGGUAGGGUUCGGUUUAGGGUUAGGGCUAUGGCUAGGGUGAAGUUUAAGUUCAGGGUGAGGGUUGAGCUUAGGGUUAGCAUUAGCGGUUAGGGUUAGGGUUAAGGUUAGGAUCAAGUUGAGGGUUAAGGUUAGGUUUAGAGUUAGGAUUAGGGUUAGUGUUAGGGUUAAGUCAUGGUUAGGUUUAGGGCUAGGUUAAGGUUAGAGAUAGGGUUAGGUUAAGGGUUGGGGUUAGGUUUAGAUGUUAGUGUGAGGGUUAGUGCUAGGUUUCCAUUUAAGCUGAGUGUGUAGGGUAAGUUUUAGGGUUAGGAUUAGGGUUAGAGUUAGAGUUAGGUUCAGGGUUAAGGUUAAGUUUAGGGUUAGGGUUAGGUUUAUGGUUGGGGUCAGGGUUGGGGGAGAUUUAGUGUUAUCUUUUGUUUUUAGGGUUAGGGUUAGGGUGAAGUUUAUUUAAGCGAGACGUUAGGGUUAGGGGUUAGGUUUCAGGUUAGGGUCAGGGUUAAGUUUAGGGUUAGCUUUUUUUUUUUAGGUUUAGGUUUAGGAUUAGGAUUAGGUUUAGUGUUAGUUUUGCUUAGGGUUAGGGUUUGAAUGAAGUUAGGGUAGGUUUAGGGUUAUGGUUAGGGUGAAAUUUUGGUUAAGGGUGAGGGUUCGGCUUAGGGUUAGGGUUAGGGGUUAGUGUUUCAGUUAGGUUUAGGGUAGAGUUAUAAUUAGGGUUAAGUUUAGGGUUAGGGUAAGAGUUAGAGUUAUGUUUACAGUUAAGGUGAGGGUUUUGGGUAAGUGUUACGCUUAGGGUUAGGGUUAGGUUUAGGGUUAGGGUUAGUGUUAGGGUUAGGUUUAAUUUUAUUGUAGGCUUAAAGUUAGGGCUAAGGUUAGGUUGGGGUUAGGGUCAGGGUUAGGAUUAGAAUUAGCUUCAGGGUGAGGGUUAGGGUCAGAGUUAUUUUAAGGGUUAGGUUUAGGGUUACAGGUGGGACAAGGUUAAGGUUAGGGUGAGGUUUAGGGGUAGGGUUAGGGUUAAAGUUAAGGUUAGCUUUAGGUUAGGGAUAGGGUGAAGUUUAAGACAGGGUGACGGUUAGGGUUAGGGUUAUGGCUAAGGUUUGAGUUUGUUUUCAGGUUAGUGUUAAGGUUAUGUUUAGGGUUAGGGUUAAGUUUAGGGGUUGUGUUUAGUUUUAGGGUUAGUGUUAGAUUUCAGGUUAGGGUUUAGUGUUACGGUUAGGGUUAGGGUUAUGGUUGUGUUAGGCGUUGUGGUUGGGGUGAGGGUUAGGUUUAGGGUUAGGGUUGGGUAGGGUUAGGAUUAUGGUUAUGGUAAGGUGUUAGGGGUUAGAGCUGUAGUUUAGGGUUAGGGUUUGGGGGAGGGUUGCGGUUAGGCAUUGUGGUUCUGGUCAUGGAUAGGUUUGGUUUAGGGUUAGGGUUAGGUUUAUGAUUAGGUUUCGGGUUAGUGUUAGAGUUAGGGUUAAGUUUUGGGUUAGGCUUUGGUGUUGCGGUUAGGGUUUGGGUUAGGGUUAGGGUUUAUCGUUAGGGCUCAGAGGUUUCAGGUUAGGGUUAGUGAUAGCAUUAGGUUUAGGUUUUGUGGGAUACGGUUAGGGGUUAGGGUGAGGGUUAUGGUUAGUUUUACACUUAAGGUGAGUGUUCAGGGUAAGUGUUGUGAUUAGGGUUAGAGUUAGAGUUAGGGUUAGGGUUAGGUGUAUGCUAAGAUUUAGGUUGAGGUCCAAGUUGAGGUUUAGAGUUAGUGUUCUAUUUAGGGUCAAGGUUAGAGUUAGGGUUGGGGUUAGGAUUAGGUCUAGGGUUAGGAUUAGAAUUAAUUUUACGGUUAGGUUCAGGACUACUGUAAGUGUUCAGUCUAGGCUUACAGAUGGACUAGCAUUAUUGGUAGAAUUAGGUUUAAGGUUAGAGUUUGGGUUAGGUUUAGGUUAAGGUUAGAGUUAGGGUUUGGAUGAGGUUUAGGAUAGGUUGUGGGUUAUUUUUAUGGUUAGGGCUAGAGUUUGGGUUUGUGUUCAGGUUAGUGUUAAGGUUAGGUUUAGGGUUCGGAUUAGGGUUAGGGGUUAUGUUUAGGGUUAGCGUUAGGUUAGGUUUAGGGUGAGUGUGAAGUUUAGGUUAAGGGUGAGGGUUAUGAUAAGGGAUAGGAUUAUAGAUGGUGUUAGACGUUAGAUUUAGGCUGUUAGGGUUAGUUUUAUGGUUAGGGUAGGGUUAAGUUUAGGGUUAACAUUAGGGUUAGGGUUAGAUUAGGGUUACUGUUUGUAUUAGGGUUAGGGAUAAAGUUUGGCAUAGCGUUAGGUUUAGGGUUGGGGAUACGGUUAACGGUUAGGGUGAGGGUUAGGCUUACGUUUACAGUUAAGGUGAGGGUUUAGGGUAAUUGUUAUGGUUAGGGCUAGAGUUAGAGUUAGGCUUAGGGUUAGGGUGAAGUUUCAGUUAAUAGUCAGGGAUAGGGUAAAUAUUAGAGUAGGGUUAAGGUUAGUGUUAGGGUUAGGUAUAGGGUUAGGGUUCGGGUAGGGGUAAGGCUAGGUUUAAGGCUAGGUUUAUGGUAAAGGGUAGGGCUAGGUUAGGGUUAGGUUUAGAGUUAGAGUUAGUGCUAGGGAUUAGGGGUAGGGUUAGGGUCAGGUUUAGAGUUCUUGUUAGGGUUAGGGUUAUGGUAGAGUUAAGGUUAGGGUUAAGUUUAGGGUUAGAGUAAGGGUUAGGUUUAGGUCAAGGUUAGGGAUAGGGUUAGGAUUAGGGAAAGGGUUAGGGGUUCGUGUGAGGGUUAGUGUUAGGUUUACAGUUAAGCUGAUGUUUUAGGGUGUUACGGUUAGGUUUAGGGUUAGAGUUAGGGUUAGGCUAGAGUUAGGGGAUAGUUUAGGGUUGGGUUUAGUUUUAGGGUUAGGGUCAGACUUAAGUUUAGGUGAAGUUUAGGUUAAGGAUGAGGGUUAAGGUUAGGGUUAGGGUUAGGCUUAGUGUUAGUGUUAGGUGUUUGGGUGAAUGGAAGGAUCAGGUUUAGGGUUAGGGUUAGUGUUCAGUUUAGGGUUAGGGUUAGGGUGAAGUUUAAGUGAAGGGUGAGUGUUGAGCUUAGGGUUAGCGUUCGGGGUUAGGGUUAGGGUUAGGGUUAAGGUUAGGAUUAAGUUUAGGGUUAAGGUUAGGAUUAAGUUUAGGGUUAAGGUUAGGUUUAGAGUUAGGGUUAGGGUAAUUGUUCGGGUUCAGUCAUGUUUAGGUUUAGGGGUAGGUUCAGGUUAAAGACAGAGUUUGUUUAAGGGUUGGUGUUAGGUUUAGAUGUUGGGGUGAGGGUUAGUGCUAUGUUUCCAUUUAAGUUGAGUGUGUAGGGUCAGUUUUAGGGUUAGAGUUGGAGUUAGGGUCAGGGUUAGGGUUAAGUUUAGGGUUAGGGUUAGGUUUAUGGUUAGGAAUAGGGUUAGGGUUAGGGUUGGGGUGAUUUAGUGUUAUGUUUAGUUUUAGGGUUAGGAUGAAGUUUAUGUUAAACGUGACGGUUAUGGGUAGUGGUUAGGGUUCAGUUUAGUGUCAGGAUUAGGGUUAGGUUUAGGGUUAGGGUUAGGUUUAGUGUUAGUGUUAGUUUUGCCUAGGUUUCGACUUUGAAUGAAGUAGGGUAGGUUUAGGGUUAUGGUUAGGGUGAAAUUUUGUUUAAGGGUGAGGGUUCAGUUUAGGGUUAGGGUUAGAGUUAGGGUUAGUGGUUAGGGUUAGGCUUAGGGUUAAGGUUAGUUUUAGGCUAAGGAUUAGGGUCAGAGUUAGGGUUAGAGUUUAGUGUUUUGGUUAGGUUUAGGGUAGGGUUAUAAUUAGGGUGAAGUUUAGGGUUAGGCUAAGAGUUAGAGUUACGUUUACAGUUAAGGUGAGGGUUUUGCGUAAGUGUUACAGUUAGGGUUAGGGUUAGGGUUAGGGCUGGGUUAGGGUUAGAGUUAGGUUUAGGGGUUAGGGUUAGGUUUAAGUUUAUGGUAGGCUUAAAAUUAGGGUUAAGGUUAGGUUAGGGUAAGGGUCAGGGUUAUAAUUAAAAUUAGGUUUAGGGCGAGGGUUUGGGUCAGAGUUAUUGUAAGGGUUAGGUUUAGGGUUACAGGUGUGCUAAGGUUAAGGUUAGGGUUAGGUUUAUGGGUAGGGUUAGGGUUAAAGUCAGGGUUAGGUUUAGUGUUGGGGAUAUGGUUAAGGGCUAGGGUGACCGUUAGGGUUAGGUUUACAGUUAAGGUGAGGGUUUAGGUUAAUUGUUAUGGUUAGGGUUAGAGUUAGAGUUAGGGUUACGGUUAGGAUGAAGUUUCAGUUAAUUGUGAGGGGUAGGGUUAAGGUUAGAGUUAGGGUUAAGGUCAGUGUUACGGUUAGUUUAAGUUUAGUGUUAGGGUAGGGUUAAGGCUAGGUUUAAGGUAAAGCUCAGAGUUAGGGUUAGAGUUAGAGUUAGUGCUAGGGUUUAGGGUUAGGGUUAGGGUCAGGUUUAGAUUUAUUGCUAAGUUUAGGUUUAGGGUUAGGGUAGAGUUACGGUUAGGGUUAAGUUUAGGAUUAGGGUAAGGGUUAGGUUUAGGUCAGGGUUAGGGUUAGUAUUAGGGAUAGGUUUACGGUUGUGGAAAGGGUUAGGGGUUCCUGUGAGGGUUAGUGUUAGUUUCACAGUUAAGCUGAUGUUUCACAGUAUUAUGGUUAGGGUUAGGGUUAGGGUUAGAUUUAGGGUUAGUUCUAGGUUUCGGUUUAGGGCUAGAGUCGGGGGAUAGUUUAUGGUUAAUUAAUUUUCGGAUUUGGGUUAGGUUUAGGUUUAGGGUGAAGUUUAGGUUAAGGAUGUGGGUUAAGGUUAGUGUUAGGGUUAGGUGUUUGGGUUAAUGUUAGGGUCAGGAUUAAGGUUAGGUUUAGGGUUAGGCUUAGGGUUGAGUUCAGGGUUAGGUUUAGGGUGAAGUUUAAGUCAAGGGUGAGGAUUGAACUUAGGGUUAGGGUUAAAGUUAGGAUUAGGUUUAGGGUUAAGGUUAGGUUUAGGGUUAGGGUUAGUGUAAGUGUUAGUUUUAAGUCAUGGUUAGGUUUAGGGCUAUGUUAAGGUUAGAGAUAGGGUUAGGCUAAGGGUUGGGGUUAGGUUUAGAUGUUAGGGUGAAGGUUAGUAGUAGGUUUCCUAUUCAGCUGAGUGUGUAGGGUUAGGUUUAGGGUUGGGGAUACUUUUAAGGGGUAGGGUGAGGGUUAGGCUUCGGUUUACAGUUAAGGUGAGGGUUGAGGGUGAUUGUUAUGGUUAGGGUUAGAGUUAGAGGUAGGCUUAGGGUUAGGGUGAAGUUUCAGUUAAUAGUCAGGGAGAGGGUAAAUAUUAGAGUAGGGUUCAGAUUAGUGUUAGGGUUAGCUAUAGGGUUAGGGUUCGGGUAGGGGUAAGGCUAGGUUUAAGGCUAGGUUUACAGUAAAGGGUAGGGCUAGGUUAGGGUUAGUUUUAAAGUUAGAGUUAGUGCUAGGGUUUAGGGCUAGGGUUAGGGUCAGGUUUAGAGUUCUUGUUAGGGUUAGGGUUAUGGUAGAGUUAAGGUUAGGGUUAGAGUAAAGGUUAGGUUUAGGUCAGGGUUAGUGCUAGGAUGAGGGAUAGGCUUAGGGUUAGGGAAAGGGUUAGGGGUUUGUAUGAGAGUUAGUGUUAGGUUUACAGUUAAGCUGAUGUUUUAGGGUGUUACGGUUAGGGUUAGAGUUAGAGUUAGUUUUAGGCUUAGGCUAGAGUUAGGGUAGAGUUUAGGGUUAGGUUUAGUUUUAGGGUUAGGGUCAGGCUGAGGUUUAGGGUGAAGUUUAGGUUAAGGAUGAGGAGGGUUAGGGUUAGGUGUUUGGGUUAAGGUUAGUGUUAGGGUUAGGGUUAGGCUUAGUGUUAGGGUUAGGUGUUUGGGUGAAUGGUAGGAUCAGGUUUAGGGUUAGGGUUAGUGUUCGUUUUAGGGUUAGGGUUAGGGUGAAGUUUAAGUGAAGGGUGAGGGUUGAGCUUAGGGUUAGCUUUCGGGGUUAGGGUUAGGGUUAAGGUUAGGAUUAAGUUUAGGUUUAAGGUUAGGUUUAGUGUUAGGGUUAGGGUAAUUGUUCGGGUUAAGUCAUGUUUAGGUUUAGGGGUAGGUUCAGGUUAAAGACAGGGUUAGGUUAAGGGUUGGUGUUAGGUUUAGAUGUUAGGGUGAGGGUUAGUGCUAGGUUUCCAUUUAAGCUGAGUGUGUAGGGUCAGUUUUAGGGUUAGAGUUGGAGUUAGGGUCAGGGUUAGGGUUAAGUUUAGGGUUAGGGUUAGGUUUAUGGUUAGGAAUAGGGUUAGGGUCAGGUUUGGGGGAGAUUUAGUGUUAUGUUUAGUUUUAGGUUUCGGAUGAAGUUUAUGUAAAACUUGAUGGUUAUGGUUAGUGGUUAGGGUUCAGUUUAGGGUCAGGAUUAGGGUUAGGUUUAGGGUUAGGGUUAGGUUUAGUGUUAGUGUUAGUUUUGCUUAGGUUUAUCGUUUGAAUGAAGUAGGGUAGGUUUAGGGAUAUGGUUAGGGUUUGGGUUUGGAUGAAGUUUAGGAUAUGGUAAGGGUUAGUGUUACAGUUAGGUUUAGGGUUCAGGUUAGUAUUAGGGGUUAGUUAAGGGUUAGGGUUAGGUUUAUGUUUAGUGUUAGUGUGAUGUUUAGUUUAAGGGUGAAGGUUCGGAUAAAGUUUACGAUUAGUGUUAGGAUUAUAGUUAGUGUUAGAGGCUAGGUUUAGGGUGUUAGGGUUAGGUUUAUGGUAGUGUAGGCUUAAGUUUAGGGUUAGGGUUAGGGUUAGGGAUAGCUUUAGGUUUAGGGUUGGGGGAUACGGUUCGGGGUUAGGGUGUGGGUUGGGGUUAGGGUGAGGGUUAGGUUUACAGUUAAGGUGAGGGUUUAGGGUAAUUGUUAUGCUUAGUGUUAGAGUUAGGGUUAGGGUUAGGGGAAGUUUCAGUUAAUAGUGAGGGCUAGGGCUAAGUUUAGAGUUAGUAUAAGGUUAGUGUUAGGGUUAGGGUUAGAUUCGGGGUCAGGUUAGGGUUAAGGCUAGGUUUAUGGUAAAGAGUAGGGCUAGGUUGGGGUUAGGGUUAGGUUUAGAGUUAGAAUUAGUGCUAGGGUUUACUGUUAGGGUUAGGGUCAGGUUUAGAGUGAUUGUUAGGGUUAGGGUAGAGUUAAUUUUAAAGUUAUGUUUAGGGUUAGGGUAAGGGUUAGAUUUAGGUCAGGGUUAGAGUUAGGAUGAAGGAUAGGGUUAAAGUUAGGGAAAAGGUUAGGGGUUCAUGUGAGGGUUAGUUUUAGGUUUACAUUUAGCUGAUGUUUUAGGGUGUUAGUGUUAGUUUUAGAGUUAGGGUUACGGUUAGUGUUAGGUUUAGGGUUAGGGCUAGAGUUAGGGGAUAGUUAAGCAUGAGGUUUUGUUUUAGGGUUAUGGGUAUGGUUAGCCUUAGGUUUAUCGUGAAGUUUAGGUUAAGGAUGUGGGUUAGGUUAAGGUUAGGUGGUUGGGUUAAGGUUAGGGUUAGGUUGAGGGUUAGACUUAGUUGUAGGUUUAGGGUUAGUUUUUUGGGUCAAUGUUAGGGUCAGGUUUAGGGUUAGGUUUAGGGUUAGGGUUUGGUUUAGGGUUAGGGCUAGGGCUAGGGUGAAGUUUAAGUUAAGGGUGAGGGUUGCGCUUAGGGUUAGCCUUAGCGGUUAGGUUUAGGGUUAAGGUUAGGAUUAAGUUGAGGGUUAAGGUUAGGUUUAGAGUUAGGAUUAGGGUUAGUAUUAGGGUUAAGUCAUGGUUAGGUUUAGGGCUAGGUUAAGGUUAGAGAUAGGGUUAGGUUGAGGGUUGGGGUUAGGUUUAGAUGUUAGUGUGAGGGUUAGUGCUAGGUUUCCAUUUAAGCUGAGUGUGUAGGGUAAGUUUUAGGGUUAGGAUUAGGGUUAGAGUUAGAGUUAGGUUCAGCGUUAGGGUUAAGUUUAGGGUUAGGGUUAGGUUUAUGGUUGGGGUCAGGGUUAGGGGAAGAUUUAGUGUUAUGUUUCAUUUUAGGGUUAGGGUUAGGGUGAAGUUGAUUUAAGCAAGACGGUUAGGGUUAGGGGUUAGGUUUCAGGUUAGGGUCAGGGUUAAGUUUAGGGUUAGCUUUAAGUUUUUUUUUUUAGGUUUAGGUUUACGGUUAGGUUUAGGUUUGGUGUUAGUUUUGCUUAGGGUUAGGGUUUGAAUGAAAGGGUAGGUUUAGGGUUAUGGUUAGGGUGGAAUUUUGGUUAAGGGUGAGGGUUCGGCUUAGGGUUAGGGUUAGAGGUUAGUGUUUCAGUUAGGUUUAGGGUAGAGUGAAAAUUAGCGUUAAGUUUCGGGUUAGGGUAAGAGUUAGAGUUAUGUUUACAGUUAAGGUGAGGGUUUUGGGUAAGUGUUACAGUUAGGGUUAGGGUUAGGGUUAGUGUUAAGGUUAGGUUUAAAUUUAUUGUAGGCUUAAAAUUGGGUUUAAGUUUAGGUUAGGUUUAGGGUCAGGGUUAGGGGGACAUUUAGUGUUAUCUUUAGUUUAAAAAAAAUUUUUUUUUUUUAGGUUCAGGGUUAGGGUUAGCGUGAAGUUUAUGUUAAGCAUGACGGUUAGGGGUUAGGGUUAGGGUUAGGGCUAGGGUUAUGUUUAGGGUUAGUGUUAGGUUUCGUUAGGAUUAGGCUUUGAAUGAAGUUAGGGUAGGUUUAGGGUUACGGUUAGGGUGAAAUUUUGGUUAAGGGUGAGGGUUUGGUUUAGGGUUAGGGUUAGCAUUAGACUUAGGGUUAGUGCUUAGGUUUAGGUUUAGGGUUAAGGUUAGUUUUAGCCUAAGGUUUAAGGGUAGAUUUAGGGUUAGGGGUUAGUGUUUCGGUUAGGUUUAGGGUAGGGUUAUAAUUAGGGUUAAGUUCAGGGUUAGGGUAAGAGUUAGAGGUACAUUUACAGUUAAGGCGAAUUUUUCGGGUAAGUGUUAUGGUUAGGGUUAUGGUUCGUUUUAGGGCUAGGGUUCAGGUUAGAGUUAGGGUUCGGGGUUAGAGUUAGGUUUAAGAAUAUGGUAAGGCUAAAUAUAGGGUUAAGUUUAGGUUAGGGUUAGGGUCAGAGUUAGGAUUAGAAUUAGUUUAAGGGUGAUGUUUAGGGUCAGAAUUAUUGUACAGGUUAGGUUUAGGGUUACAGGUGGGCCAAGGUUAAGUUAGGGUUAGGUUUAGGGGUAGGGUUUGGGUUAAAGUAAGGGAUAGCUUUAGGUUAGGGUUAGGGUGAAGUUUAAGAUAGGCUGAGGGUUAAGGUUAGUGUUAUGGCUAAGGUUUGGGUUAGUUUUCAGGUUAUUGUUAAGGUUAUGUUUAGGGUUAGGGUUAAGUUUACGGGUUCUGUUUAGUUUUAGAGUUUGGGUUAGAUUUUAGGUUGGGGUUAGGGUUACGGUCUGUGUUAGGUGUUGUGGUUGGGGUGAGGGUUAGGUUUAGGGUUAGGGUUGGGUAGGAUUAGGAUUAUGGUUAUGGUAAGGUGUUAGGAUUUAGAGUUGUAAUUUAGGGUUAGGGUUUGGGGGAGGGUUCUGGUUAGGCAUUGUGGUUCUGUUCAUGGUUAGGUUUGGUUUAGGGUUAGUGUUGGGUUUUUGAUUAGGUUAGAGUUAGGGUGAGAGUUAGGGUUAUGUUUUGGGAUAGGCUUUGGUGUUGGGGUUAGGGUUUGGGUUAGGGUAGGGUUAUCGUUAGGGCUUAGUUGUUCUGGUUAGGGUUAGGUUUAGGGAUAGCAUUAGGGUUAGGGUUGGGGGAUAUGGUUAGGGGUUAGGGUGAGGGUUAUGUUUAGGUUUAGAAUUAAAGUGAGGAUUUAGGGCAACUGUUAUGGUUAGGGCUAGAGUUCUAGUUAGGGUUAGGGUAGGGGUAAGUUUACGGUUAAGGCUAGGUUUACAGAAAAGUGUAGGGCUAGGUUAGGGUUAGGGUUAGGUUUAGAGUUAGUCUUAGCACUAGGGUUUAGGAUUAGGUUUAGGGUGAGGGUUAGAGAUAUAGUUAGGUUUAGGGUUAGGGUUAGGCCUAGGGUUAGAUUAGAGUUAUGGUAGGUUUUAGGGUUUUGUUUAAGUUCAUGGUAGGGUUAAGGUCAGGUUAUGGUUAGGGUCAGGGUUAAGAUUAGGAUUAGGUUUAAGCUGAGGGUUAAGGCCAGAUUUAUUGUAAGGGUUAGGUUUAGGGUUAAAGGUGGGCCAAUGUUAAGGUUAGAGUUAGGUUUAGAGGUAGGGUUAGGGUUAAAGUUAGGGUUACCUUUAGGUUAGUGAUAGGGCUAAUUUAAAGAUAGGUUGAGGGUUACAGUUAUGGUUAGGUUUAGAGUUAGAGUUAGUGCUAGGAUUUAGGGUUAGGGUUAGGGUCAGUUUUAGAGUUAUGGUUAGCUUUAGGGUUAGGGUUCGGGUAGAGUUAAGGUUAGGGUUAAGGGUAAGGUUAGGGUAAGGGUUAGGUUAGGUCAGGAUUCUGGUUAGGAUUAGUUACAGGGUUAGGGUUAGGGGUUCGGUUGAGGGUUAGUGUUAGGUUUCGGUUAAACUGAUGUUUUAGGGUAUUAUGGUUAGGGUCAGGGUUAGAGUUAGGAAUAGGGUUAGGUUUAGGGAUAGGGUUAGAGUGAGGGGAUAGUUUAGGGUUAGGUUUAGUUUUAGGGUUAGGCUUAGGUUUAGGUUUAGGAUGAGGGUUAGUGUUAGGGAUAGUGUUUGCUUAGGUGUUUGGGUUAAGGUUAGGGUCAGGUUAGGGUUAGGUUUAGGUUUAGGCUUAGGGUUAGGGUUAGUGUUAUGGUUAGGGUUAGUUGUUUGGCUUAAUGUUAGGGUCAGAUUUAGGGUUAGGUUUAGGGUUACAGUUAAGGUUCAGUUUAGGGUAAGGGUUAGGGUGAAGUUUAAGUUAAGGGUGUGGGUUGAGCUUAGGGUUAGCGUUAGUGGAUAGGGUUAAUUUUAGGAUUAGUUUUCGGGUUAGGGUUAGGGUAAGUGUUAACGUUAAGUCAUGGUUAGGUUUAGGACUAGAUUAAGGUUAGAGAUAGGGUUAGGUUAAGGGUUGGAGUUAGGUUUAGAUGUUAGGGUGAGGGUUGUUGCUGCGUCUCCAUUUAAGCUGAGUGUGUAGGGUAACUUUUAGGGUUAGGAUUAGGAUUAGAGUUAGAGGUAUGGUCAGGGCUACCUUAAUUUUAUGGUUAGGGUUAGGUUUAUGGUUAGGAUUAGGGUUAGGGUCAGAGUUGGGGGAGAUUUAGUAUUAUGUUUAGCUUUAGGGUUAGGGUUAGGGGGAGACCGUGUUAUGUUUAGUGUUAGGGUUAGGAUUUGGGUGAAGUUUAUGUUAAGCGUGAUUGUUAGGGUUCCUGGUUAAGGUUCAUAUUAGGGUCAGGGUAAUGGUUAGGUUUAGGGUUAUGGUUUGGUAGGGUUAGGAUUAUGGUUAAUGGUAAGGUGUCAGGGGUUAGAGGUGUAGUUUACGGUUAGGGUUUGGGUGAGGAUUCCGGUUAGAUAUUGUGGUGCUGGUCAGUGUUAUGUUUUGUAUAGGGUUAGGAUUAGGUGCUUUCACAAUCUCUUAAAGCUAAGACUAUGUAUUUGCGCCUCUGGAAGGAUAAAUCCACUGGGAUGAAGUUUUUCAGAUGAAGCCUUGCGUUUGCAAGAGCAAAUGAGGCAUACAUUGCAGGAAAGAGGAAGGACAAAAAGAUUCUCUCCUUCUGCCUGCUUUGCUCAGAGGAGUGGAUGAAGUCAGGGAGUUCUCCCUUUCACUGAGAAACAUGCAGGCUGCUGUUGCCUGUGCGCUCUCUUAUUUGGAAGAGAGUCUGCAGUUACACACUUUGAACUGUGGAAAGGCACCGGGGUUUCUAAGGAUUACAUCAGGAGCUUAGUUUCCCUGGGCCAAAAUGAGCCUUCACAAUAGCUUAACACUAACACUGCAUACUCGUUCCACUUCCAGAAUACGGCUACCGCAAGACAGUUCUCCGGAGGAAAACUUCCCUUCACUAAGGGCAGAUUGGCAGAGCUCAUUGCAGGAAAGCGAAACCAACUGACAGUUUUCUCAUUCUAACUGCUGUCGUCUGAGGAAUGGAUGAAGUCAGAGUAUUCUUUUUCACUGAGAUACACAAAAUCUGAUGUUGCCUCUGAGCUCUGUUCUUGGCAAAUAACUGAAACUGACGUACAUUCAUGUGGGGAAACACAUGGCUUUGCUAGGAUUUCUCUAGGCAAUGUGUUUUCCCUGGGCCUCACAUCAGGGCAACACUG
Long non-coding RNA from Loxodonta africana (African savanna elephant), 23975 nucleotides. RefSeq lists it as uncharacterized. NCBI's taxonomy places the organism in Eukaryota, Metazoa, Chordata, Mammalia, Proboscidea, Elephantidae. The record is from RefSeq and is a predicted model, not a curated record. The transcript has 3 exons.